RNAcentral lists this ribosomal RNA (305 nucleotides) under uncultured bacterium. Its description in RNAcentral is "partial 16S ribosomal RNA". It matches the Rfam family "Bacterial small subunit ribosomal RNA", at positions 505 to 809 of the family's 1533-position model. The record is from RNAcentral.
ACAGCAGUAGCCACGGGAAUACGGAGGGAGCUAGCGUUAUUCGGAAUUACUGGGCGUAAAGCGCACGUAGGCGGCUUUGUAAGUAAGAGGUGAAAGCCCGGAGCUCAACUCCGGAACUGCCUUUUAGACUGCAUCGCUUGAAUCCAGGAGAGGUGAGUGGAAUUCCGAGUGUAGAGGUGAAAUUCGUAGAUAUUCGGAAGAACACCAGUGGCGAAGGCGGCUCACUGGACUGGUAUUGACGCUGAGGUGCGAAAGCGUGGGGAGCAAACAGGAUUAGAUACCCCGGUAGUCCCUGUCUCUUAUAU